RNAcentral lists this ribosomal RNA (390 nucleotides) under uncultured bacterium. Its description in RNAcentral is "bacterial SSU rRNA". It matches the Rfam family "Bacterial small subunit ribosomal RNA", at positions 28 to 419 of the family's 1533-position model. The record is from RNAcentral.
GACGAACGCUGGCGGCGUGCUUAACACAUGCAAGUCGAGCGGUAAGGCCCCUUCGGGGGUACACGAGCGGCGAACGGGUGAGUAACACGUGGGUGACCUGCCCUCAGCUCUGGGAUAAGCCUGGGAAACUGGGUCUAAUACCGGAUAUGACUCCAUGACGCAUGUCGUGGGGUGGAAAGCCUUGUGCGGCUGGGGAUGGGCCCGCGGCCUAUCAGCUUGUUGGUGGGGUGAUGGCCUACCAAGGCGACGACGGGUAGCCGGCCUGAGAGGGCGACCGGCCACACUGGGACUGAGACACGGCCCAGACUCCUACGGGAGGCAGCAGUGGGGAAUCUUGCGCAAUGGGCGAAAGCCUGACGCAGCGACGCCGCGUGAGGGAUGACGGCCUGG